GAUGAACGCUGGCGGCGUGCCUAAUACAUGCAAGUCGAGCGAACGGACGAGAAGCUUGCUUCUCUGAUGUUAGCGGCGGACGGGUGAGUAACACGUGGAUAACCUACCUAUAAGACUGGGAUAACUUCGGGAAACCGGAGCUAAUACCGGAUAAUAUUUUGAACCGCAUGGUUCAAAAGUGAAAGACGGUCUUGCUGUCACUUAUAGAUGGAUCCGCGCUGCAUUAGCUAGUUGGUAAGGUAACGGCUUACCAAGGCAACGAUGCAUAGCCGACCUGAGAGGGUGAUCGGCCACAUUGGAACUGAGACGCGGUCCAGACUCCUACGGGAGGCAGCAGUAGGGAAUCUUCCGCAAUGGGCGAAAGCCUGACGGAGCAACGCCGCGUGAGUGAUGAAGGUCUUCGGAUCGUAAAACUCUGUUAUUAGGGAAGAACAUAUGUGUAAGUAACUGUGCACAUCUUGACGGUACCUAAUCAGAAAGCCACGGCUAACUACGUG
RNAcentral lists this ribosomal RNA (497 nucleotides) under uncultured bacterium. RNAcentral describes it as "partial 16S ribosomal RNA". It matches the Rfam family "Bacterial small subunit ribosomal RNA", at positions 28 to 507 of the family's 1533-position model. The record is from RNAcentral.